Molecule: ribosomal RNA, 403 nt
Filed under: uncultured bacterium
Lineage: Bacteria
Description: partial 16S ribosomal RNA
Rfam family: Bacterial small subunit ribosomal RNA
Source: RNAcentral
GACGAACGCUGGCGGCGUGCCUAAUACAUGCAAGUCGAACGCAGUGGGGACGGGUGAGUAACACGUGGGUAACCUCCCAACAGAGGGGAUAACACUUGGAAACAGGUGCUAAACCGAUACUGAUGGAUGAACCCGCGGUGCAUUACCUAGUUGGUGAGGUAACGGCUCACCAAGGCCACGAUGCAUAGCUGACCUGCGAGGGUGAUCGGCCAACCUGGGACUGAGACACGGCCCAGCUUCCUCCGUGAGGCAGCAGUAGGGAAGCUUCGGCAAUGGAGGAAAGUCUGACCGAGCAACGCCGCGUGAGUGAAGAAGGUGUUCGGCUCGUAAAACUCUGUUGUUAGAGAAGCGGUAUCUAACCAGAAAGCCACGGCUAACUACGUGCCAGCAGCCGCGGUAAUUC